GACAAAAGGUGUCUUAUUUUGCUAGGAUUCAAGGCCUUGACUCAAGUAAAUUAUGCCGAAUUGUAUUUGAAGAGCUCAAGUCCUUAAAGCUUCAAAGGGGAUGGGACUAUCCACAAUAUAUGAUCAAUUUAUUCAAUAUGGUUGGUCUGGAUCACUUUUAUAACUCGAAUGUCAACUCUAAUAUAUUUAAACAGUUUCUUGGAAGGUUUGUCCGGAGAAGGCAAUAUCAAGAAAUAAAUGAUAAAAGCAGUCUAGAUAUUUUCUCAAAAUUUAACUUUGCACAAGGAAGGCAACCAUAUCUGACGAACUUGCUGGACUUCAAGUCUGCAAGACUCAAAAUGUUAAUACGAACAAAUUGUUUACCUGUAAACAAAGUCUUGUAUAGGAUGAAUCUUAGCGAGAGUCCCACUUGCCAAAUGUGUUUAUUUAAUUCUGAAGAGUCCAUUGAACAUUUCCUAUUAGAGUGUUCUGGCUUCUCCUCAAUCCGUAAUAAAUACAUAUCUGAUAUAAAUGAAUAUCUAAGUUUUACUUUCCCGGGCCUCUGCUUCACAGAGUUAUCGUCCUACGAUAAAAUACAAAUACUGGUUGGUGAUUGCUUUUAUCAGGUUGAUCCCUACAUUAGUAAAACAUUGGACAGUUUAAGUAAAAAGAUGUUCAGUGAAAUGUACUCUAAGAGACAAUUGGUUUUGGAACCUAAACUUUAAAUGUUAUUUUUUUACGUUACUUUUAG
RNAcentral lists this long non-coding RNA (730 nucleotides) under Mytilus galloprovincialis (Mediterranean mussel). Lineage: Eukaryota; Metazoa; Mollusca; Bivalvia; Mytilida; Mytilidae. The record is from RNAcentral.